UAUGCUCAUUCGUUUUCAGGCCCUCGUUCAGCCAACAAAAAAAUUAUAUUUUCGGAAAAAGUAUUGUGAAAGUUUGAGUUUAAAUUUGAGAUUUAAAAUUGUUUUUGUGAAAAGUUUCACAUGUGUAAAAAUUAUUUUUCUUAAAUCCUAAUUCCAAUGAUGGCCAAAAGUAUCCACCACACCACACGAAAUGUUACUAAAUUAUUGAACUGCCUAGUAUUCGUGCAUAAAGUAUGUGCAUAAAGGAGACACAAACUAUCCAUCGUUAAGCAUAUUUACAGACUUAGAUCAAACUGGACACACUGGAUUGAAAUCAAUACAUGAUUCCUAAAGGAUGUGUACACUUUUACUUUAUAUCAAACACGCAAAAUCACUGGAUUAUAACAAAUGGACGAUGAGUCAACUCCAAUUCCUAAAGGAUACGUGUUUAGCCAUAACAUUUGAAUUUAGGGUAUCAAAAUAUUGGUUGAUUGGCUAAGAGAUUUAUUCUCGAUAUUCUAAUCCCAUAUUCAUAUUGCAGACUGAAACGCAAUAAGGAUUUUUAUCGAUACAAUUGAAAGAAAGCUAAACUUCUACACAAUGGUUUUUGUUAUAGUUUAUACAAAUGAAUACUACUCGCAAGGGAAUUGCUGGAAUUAAAUAAAAAUAUAAGAAAUAUAUAAAAUAUAUUCACACGCAAAUAAAAUACUGAAUAAAAU
Long non-coding RNA from Drosophila guanche, 698 nucleotides. RefSeq lists it as uncharacterized. The transcript is spliced from 3 exons. NCBI's taxonomy places the organism in Eukaryota, Metazoa, Arthropoda, Insecta, Diptera, Drosophilidae. The record is from RefSeq and is a predicted model, not a curated record.